UGCGUAGGCUGCGCGGAAAGUUGGGUGUGAAAGCCCUCAGCUCAACUGAGGGAUUGCAUCCAAAACUACCGUGCUCGAGGGAGACAGAGGUGAGCGGAACUCAAGGUGGAGCGGUGAAAUGCGUUGAUAUCUUGAGGAACACCGGUGGCGAAAGCGGCUCACUGGGUCUCUUCUGACGCUGAGGCACGAAAGCUAAGGUAGCAAACG
RNAcentral lists this ribosomal RNA (207 nucleotides) under uncultured bacterium. Its description in RNAcentral is "partial 16S ribosomal RNA". It matches the Rfam family "Bacterial small subunit ribosomal RNA", at positions 568 to 774 of the family's 1533-position model. The record is from RNAcentral.